UACGGAGGGUCCAAGCGUUAUCCGGAAUCAUUGGGUUUAAAGGGUCCGUAGGCGGUUUUGUAAGUCAGUGGUGAAAGCCCAUCGCUCAACGGUGGAACGGCCAUUGAUACUGCAAGACUUGAAUUAUUAGGAAGUAACUAGAAUAUGUAGUGUAGCGGUGAAAUGCUUAGAGAUUACAUGGAAUACCAAUUGCGAAGGCAGGUUACUACUAAUGGAUUGACGCUGAUGGACGAGAGCGUGGGGAGCGAACAGG
RNAcentral lists this ribosomal RNA (253 nucleotides) under uncultured bacterium. RNAcentral describes it as "partial 16S ribosomal RNA". It matches the Rfam family "Bacterial small subunit ribosomal RNA", at positions 524 to 776 of the family's 1533-position model. The record is from RNAcentral.